UACGUAGGGUGCAAGCGUUGUCCGGAAUUAUUGGGCGUAAAGAGCUCGUAGGCGGUCUGUCGCGUCGGCUGUGAAAACCCGGGGCUCAACCCCGGGCCUGCAGUCGAUACGGGCAGACUAGAGUGCGGUAGGGGAGACUGGAAUUCCUGGUGUAGCGGUGAAAUGCGCAGAUAUCAGGAGGAACACCGGUGGCGAAGGCGGGUCUCUGGGCCGUUACUGACGCUGAGGAGCGAAAGCGCGGGGAGCGAACAGG
RNAcentral lists this ribosomal RNA (253 nucleotides) under uncultured bacterium. Its description in RNAcentral is "partial 16S ribosomal RNA". It matches the Rfam family "Bacterial small subunit ribosomal RNA", at positions 524 to 776 of the family's 1533-position model. The record is from RNAcentral.